This is a long non-coding RNA of Oncorhynchus kisutch (coho salmon), 1134 nucleotides long. RefSeq lists it as uncharacterized. The transcript has 3 exons. NCBI's taxonomy places the organism in Eukaryota, Metazoa, Chordata, Actinopteri, Salmoniformes, Salmonidae. The record is from RefSeq and is a predicted model, not a curated record.
UUCAUUUGUCCUUGGUAAAAGAAAAGCCAGUAGUAUUUCAGGAUUUUAUUUAUCAACUGGUCAAAAUGAAGGGAUUGAUUGUCGUCGUGGUUUUGGUGACACUGAUGAUUUCAACUGAUGCGUUCCUGAUGCACAGCAGACAACGUUGCCUCUGUCUGAAAACACGGGACCGUGUGAAUUCCAGUAACAUAGUCCAAUCCACCGUUCAUCAGAGGAGUGUAAUGUGUGACCAUGUGGAGAUAGUGGUGCAGUUGAAAAUACCAUCAAAAUAUAUCUGCCUGAAUCCAGACUCUAAAAUGGGCAAGAGAAUACAGACUAAGUGGAACCUGAAGAACUGAGCCAAACAUGAUAACACAAACUAUGUGAUGAUGAUAUAACUGACUGUACUGACCAAAAAGUACAUGUAACUAUGUUGUCUUUCUCUGCAGUUUCAGGUAACUUUACUUGUUCCACUGACAAUGCAAUUAGAAAGUGUAUUUCAGAGCUACAGGGUAAUGCACAAAGCUCGUAACAACAUUCUAGAACAUCUCUGCAAUGACAAGGCUGUAACAACAUUCUAGAACAUCUCUGCUAUGACAAGCCUGUAACAUCAUUCUAGAACAUCUCUGCUAUGACAAGCCUGUAACAUCAUUCUAGAACAUCUCUGCUAUGACAAGCCUGUAACAACAUUCUAGAAGAUCUCUGCUAUGACAAGCCUGUAACAACAUUCUAGAACAUGUAAUGGGAAUUGAAAUGUUUGUGCUUUUCUUAUAACUAAUUUCUGUGUUCAUGCAAGUGACUGACUGAACCAAUUCUCACUAUCAGUAUCUGCAAUUUGGCAGUACGCCCAGACCUUGUUUUGAGAACGAAAGAUAUCUCAGUUUCAAGGUCUCAGCGCAGAGAGAAGAAGCCUCGUGAGGUAUUGGUCUGUCACAUGUUAAGAACCAACAUUUGUCAUUCACAUGAAUGAAACAAAACGGUAAUGAUGAAUUAAUUAUGCUAAAUCAUGCACAUAUAAUUGGUCUGUGUAUAGCUGUAUAUAAGAAAACUGCUGGGACUGCCCCAGGAGAGCUCCUGAUUGACAUGUGUACUAUGGUGCAUUGAUUUGGUUGGAACUUCUCCAGCUUGCUGUCAAUAAACAAUUAUUAAUAUUAA